This 1189-nucleotide long non-coding RNA is filed under the name Brassica napus (rape). RNAcentral describes it as "long non-coding RNA (BNAP_LNC009078)". Lineage: Eukaryota; Viridiplantae; Streptophyta; Magnoliopsida; Brassicales; Brassicaceae. The record is from RNAcentral.
AAAUUUUAAAUAUUUUUGGCUGAAAGUACCAAACUUAUAAUGUUAUAUGGAAUAAUAAACCAAAUAUAGAAUCCCACACAUAUAUUUUUUUCAAAGAAAUCUAGCUACUUAUAUUUAUAUAUGUUAUUAUAAUAGUUUGUCAAUUGAAGGGAUUGUGGAAUCACGCACAUAAUUAAAAUUGGUUUUAUCUCGCAUAGGAAAACAUGACAAUAGAAAGAAAAAAAAGAGUAGCCUUUUCAAGUUAUCUAAGGAAGUUAGUUAGGCUGAUAUAGCUCAAAGUACGACUCUCUCUCUUAUCUCUAAAAAUCUUUUAGAGAGAGAGUCGGUGUCGUGUUCUUGUCGCCGACGGUUUCUGGCGGCUUGUUCUCCCGUUCAUCAGGAACUGACUCCGGUAUACAGCGGUCUCCUUGAAGCUGUAUAGUCGGCUUUUAACUCUGGUGGCUCGCGUUCAUCUCGGCAGAGCUAUCUGGCUUUUGGCUCCGGUGGUGCUUUUGUGGUGGCGUCGCUGGCUUCUUCCGGGUUAUACCGGAUCUGUUUGGACUUCGCCUCUUGCUAUCCCUUGUUUCAAUCGCUCUUUUUUCUUCGUUGAUGAUGGAUCGAUUGAUGACGAUUGAUCUUUUAUAAGAAGUGUAGUUCUGUUUGGUGCUUUGGCUUUGAUUUCUGGUAGUUGGGUUCAUUAGAUUCGCUUUUGGUUUCGGUUGAUUGAUGUUCUCUAGUGGACGGAACUCCGGUGGCGAAGGCUUAAGCGCUAGGGUUAAAGGUCUUCAUUUUCCAUUAAUGUUGUCGGCGGUUUCUUUCGACGGAAUCCUAUUUCCGGUGUGUCCAGUGGAUUUUCGGUAAGUCAUCCGGUGACGACUUACUAGUCGGUGGUGACAUAUGCUUUGCUGUCCAACACGCGUCUUCUCUUUUCAGCAGGUCCUACACGUGUUUGGUGGGUCAAUCCGAUCACCCUUCUUAAGCUUUUCUUUUUCUCUUAGCCUUGGCUGUUUGUUGUUUUUGUUUUGGGCUUCGUCCCUUAUGGGCUUCGUCCCAUUAAUAAUAUACUUCAGGACGACAAAAAAAAAAAAAGAGUAAAUAAAUAAAACCUUAAUUUUUCUGGUUUUCGAUAAUGACUCUAACUAAUGUAUGAACUCGAUAAGGAUAUAAAACAUCUAUAUUCUCUCAACGUAACCGACAAUUAACACUCACA